Mugil cephalus (flathead mullet) is the source of this 830-nucleotide long non-coding RNA. RefSeq lists it as uncharacterized. Lineage: Eukaryota; Metazoa; Chordata; Actinopteri; Mugiliformes; Mugilidae. The record is from RefSeq and is a predicted model, not a curated record. The transcript is spliced from 3 exons.
ACUAUGCUGGAUCAAGGAGCAUUACUGAGUACACCUUUGGAGACUGACACACCAUCUUCUUGAGGGCCCAGGAGAUCUGUUUUCUGCCUGCUGCAUCUUCCACAACAUUUGUGUGGCCAUGGACUUUACCCUGAAGGCUGAGAAAGUCCUGGGACCAGCUGAUAGCAAGGAUGACACAUGGAAUGUAGAAAUCGAUUUGCGGAAAACAACCCACGUCCUCUCUUACCAAAGAUGGAUGCACUCCAGUUACAGAGGGGCUUAAUGGGUAUGAACCAAACCAAAGAGGAUGGCACCAAGAGCAGAGACUUGGACAGGCUGAAGAACUGUUGAGUUACGUAGCCAUGGAGACUUCACCUGACCCCUCGCUCUUUCAGGUGAUAAGCUGAUUACUGGGAUGACAGCCUCCUGUCGCAGACCGGCACGCAGCAGGAGAUCUGAUGAAGCUGAGCCAAACUCCUGUCGGAAAUACUGAUUGACUCUGCUGUAAACAACUUUGAAAUUUCAGAUUAAGAUUAUCCCGCUUUUUCAGACUGUCCAAAUGCUGUUUUUAUGAAGAUAUAUACUUAUUACAUGUACACAUUAUGACACAUGAAACUUUCAUACACCUUAGUACGUCAUUGUCUACUCCAGAACCAACUCAUUGAUGAUGGAUCAUUUAAAUUGGUCUACCAAUCCAAACUGUGGUUGUUUGAAGUCCUGAACAACUGGGCCAGCACAGCUUGGAUGUUUGUGAUCACCACUUUCUGCUUUCUAUAAAUCGACUACCACAUCAUUUCCCUAGAAUAUUCUCAAAAUAAACUGCAAAAGCAGCAAGAUAUUUACUCACUGAC